AUCUUGUAAUGUAUAUCUUACAUCUGCACAAACUACAAUAGGAACCAUGUCUGGUUAAUCUGGUGGGUAUUAUGUUUAUUUUUUUUCCUGAUGUUUUGCUAAUGUGGCAGCGCUUCAUACUCGUAUGUCUUCUGUAGAAGACUGUUUUUUUAUUGGUAGCUGUAUUAUCUAUGUUGUAAUAUACAGUGCAAUCUGAAUCAAGGAAAUGGAAGCUGGAUCCUGGAUAUC
This 228-nucleotide small RNA is filed under the name Oryza sativa Japonica Group (Japanese rice). RNAcentral describes it as "misc RNA OsIRX14". Lineage: Eukaryota; Viridiplantae; Streptophyta; Magnoliopsida; Poales; Poaceae. The record is from RNAcentral.